GCCCGCCUAGCUCAGUCGGUAGAGCAUGAGACUCUUAAUCUCAGGGUUGUGGGUUUGAGCCCCAUGUUGGGUG
This 73-nucleotide transfer RNA is filed under the name Danio rerio (zebrafish). Its description in RNAcentral is "tRNA-Lys (CTT) (tRNA-Lys-CTT-200-1)". It matches the Rfam family "tRNA". Rfam says of the family: Transfer RNA (tRNA) molecules are approximately 80 nucleotides in length. The record is from Rfam by way of RNAcentral. Lineage: Eukaryota; Metazoa; Chordata; Actinopteri; Cypriniformes; Danionidae.